RNAcentral lists this ribosomal RNA (492 nucleotides) under uncultured bacterium. RNAcentral describes it as "partial 16S ribosomal RNA". It matches the Rfam family "Bacterial small subunit ribosomal RNA", at positions 29 to 507 of the family's 1533-position model. The record is from RNAcentral.
AGUGAACGCUGGCGGUAGGCCUAACACAUGCAAGUCGAACGGCAGCACAGUAAGAGCUUGCUCUUACGGGUGGCGAGUGGCGGACGGGUGAGGAAUACAUCGGAAUCUACUUUUUCGUGGGAGAUAACGUAGGGAAACUUACGCUAAUACCGCAUACGACCUACGGGUGAAAGCAGGGGAUCUUCGGACCUUGCGCGAUUGAAUGAGCCGAUGUCGGAUUAGCUAGUUGGCGGGGUAAAGGCCCACCAAGGCGACGAUCCGUAGCUGGUCUGAGAGGAUGAUCAGCCACACUGGAACUGAGACACGGACCAGACUCCUACGGGAGGCAGCAGUGGGGAAUAUUGGACAAUGGGCGCAAGCCUGAUCCAGCCAUACCGCGUGGGUGAAGAAGGCCUUCGGGUUGUAAAGCCCUUUUGUUGGGAAAGAAAAGCAGCAGGUUAAUACCCCGCUGUUCUGACGGUACCCAAAGAAUAAGCACCGGCUAACUUCGUG